UGUGUCCAUAGUACACGGAUUCCCCACUCGCACUAUCAUUUUCUGUGUUCAGUAGACCGUGAAAUUGGGGUCAUGACUCUAAUUCGGCAUUAUAAUUACAAUGAUCAUAUCGUAGAGAUCAUAUGUACUAAGUUUCAAGACGAUUGGACUUCAACUUAAUCAAAAACAACUUUUUUUUAAACCUGAAGCGGGACAAUUAGACGAAUAGACAGACACACCGAAAAACAUAAUGCCUUUAGUUGGAGCAUAAAAAGUAACAUACAUUAUUUAAUUUUUCUGUCGAAGUUUUGAAUUGUGUAUUGUAUUUGGUUAAAGAAGGCGU
RNAcentral lists this long non-coding RNA (322 nucleotides) under Mytilus galloprovincialis (Mediterranean mussel). Lineage: Eukaryota; Metazoa; Mollusca; Bivalvia; Mytilida; Mytilidae. The record is from RNAcentral.